This is a non-coding RNA of Paramuricea clavata, 991 nucleotides long. The record is from the annotation of a GenBank genome assembly. Lineage: Eukaryota; Metazoa; Cnidaria; Anthozoa; Malacalcyonacea; Plexauridae.
AGCUGCAUAAAUAUUUGGGAGUCUACAUUGAUCAACAUCAUAAAUGGAAUACUCAGAUUUCAUAUGUUAAAAAUAAAGUAUCUAAAAACAUAGGAAUAUUGUAUCACCUACGGCGAUAUCUUAAACUUUCAAUGCUAAGUAAUCUGUAGCCUAUUAUAGUCUUAUUUAUCCGUACUUGAUCUAUGAAUCUAUCUUGAGCUGCAUGGGGACUACGUACAAAACUAAUCUUAACCUAUUGGCUAUUAUCUUCAAAAUUUAACAAAUGUAUCAGAUGUAUUUUCUUUGCAAGUUACGAGAGGAUCUUAGUCCAUAUUUCAAGUUACUUGGGAUUUUGAAGUUGGAAAAUUUAAUUAAGUCAAAUACGAAACCAGAUUUAUUUUCAGAUUUCUUUAAUUUAAACCUGCAUCUAGUGUUCAUUCGCAUUAUACAAGAUAUGCAUCCCAAGAUAAUUAUUAUGGAGCUAGGAUUUGAACUAAUUAUGGUAUAAAUUUACAUUUAAAUGUUCCCUCGGUUAUGGGAAUCUAUACCUCUGUCUCUCAAGUUACUGCCCUCUAAUAUAUUUAAAAGGAAGUAUAAAAACACUUGCUUAAUAAUCAAGAAUAAAUACGAUUAAUAUCAACUAGUUUAUUAAUUAUCAAUGUAAACUUGUCUUUUAGCACCUGGGUUCAUGAGUUAUUCUGUACGCGUAUAGGCAUAGCCAUGUCGGCUUAUAUUAUUCUAACAUUGCGACAACCAGCUCGAAAGCUUCGGCUCCUCUGCCUCUGGUUGCCGUUCACAAUCUUUUUUUAAAGUACUCAUUAAAAUUUUCUUCUACUUAGUAUUUAAUUGUAAUUAGAACAAAAUAAAAAUAAAACAAUGAAUAAUCGGGCCAUUUUGUUUACACUUUCACUAGUUUAAAAGCCGACACGUCAAAACGUCUGCCACAUGUAUCACGUAUCACUAGCCUCCUAAUUUUCGCUCAAACCCAUUAUUCCAGGCUGUGUGAGCAGGC